GACCACGUAGCUCAGUUGGCAGAGCAUUGGGCUAGUAUUCCAAAGGUCGUAGGUGCGAAUCCCACCGUGGCCA
Non-coding RNA from Paramuricea clavata, 73 nucleotides. NCBI's taxonomy places the organism in Eukaryota, Metazoa, Cnidaria, Anthozoa, Malacalcyonacea, Plexauridae. The record is from the annotation of a GenBank genome assembly.